GGGGAUAUUGCUCAGUUGGUAGAGUGCUUGGCUACCAUGCACAAGGCCCUGGGUUCAAUCCCCAGAACCCCCA
Molecule: transfer RNA, 73 nt
Filed under: Ictidomys tridecemlineatus (thirteen-lined ground squirrel)
Lineage: Eukaryota; Metazoa; Chordata; Mammalia; Rodentia; Sciuridae
Description: Spermophilus tridecemlineatus (thirteen-lined ground squirrel) tRNA
Rfam family: tRNA
About the family: Transfer RNA (tRNA) molecules are approximately 80 nucleotides in length. Their secondary structure includes four short double-helical elements and three loops (D, anti-codon, and T loops).
Source: Rfam by way of RNAcentral